GACGAACGCUGGCGGCGUGCUUAACACAUGCAAGUCGAACGGAAAGGCCCUGCUUGCAGGGUACUCGAGUGGCGAACGGGUGAGUAACACGUGGGUUAUCUGCCCUGCACUUCGGGAUAAGCCUGGGAAACUGGGUCUAAUACCGGAUAGGAGCCAUUUUUAGUGUGAUGGUUGGAAAGUUUUUUCGGUGUAGGAUGAGCUCGCGGCCUAUCAGCUUGUUGGUGGGGUAAUGGCCCACCAAGGCGGCGACGGGUAGCCGGCCUGAGAGGGUGGACAGCCACAUUGGGACUGAGAUACGGCCCAGACUCCUACGGGAGGCAGCAGUGGGGAAUAUUGCACAAUGGGCGCAAGCCUGAUGCAGCGACGCCGCGUGGGGGAUGACGGCCUUCGGGUUGUAAACUCCUUUCGCUAGGGACGAAGCUUUUUGUGACGGUACCUAGAUAAGAAGCACCGGCUAACUACGUG
Molecule: ribosomal RNA, 465 nt
Filed under: uncultured bacterium
Lineage: Bacteria
Description: partial 16S ribosomal RNA
Rfam family: Bacterial small subunit ribosomal RNA
Source: RNAcentral